UCGAAUUCUGGAUCAUAUCUCCUGGGUGGAAUUCCUCUAUUAUUCCGAGGGGGUAGGACAUAUUAGCCUGUUUCAGAAACCUCAAGGGAAAUGGGUUCAGUAGUAAGGUUAUUAGAACCAGGGAAAAGUUCAGAUUCACAUACCUCAGUUGUGUGUUCCUCAGGAUAUUCUACGGUGUCAGGUUCUGGUUGUGACGUUGAGACCGAGGACUGUACUAGAUGGUCAGUGUCUCCCAGUUCUGGUGUAGACUCAGGAAGAGAAGAAUGAUCAAGUUCUGGCCCCUCCUGACUAAGCCAAUUUGGCAGUGGUGGUGAUUGUGC
This 320-nucleotide long non-coding RNA is filed under the name Manihot esculenta (cassava). Its description in RNAcentral is "long non-coding RNA (MESC_LNC009387)". The record is from RNAcentral. Lineage: Eukaryota; Viridiplantae; Streptophyta; Magnoliopsida; Malpighiales; Euphorbiaceae.